RNAcentral lists this ribosomal RNA (254 nucleotides) under uncultured bacterium. RNAcentral describes it as "partial 16S ribosomal RNA". It matches the Rfam family "Bacterial small subunit ribosomal RNA", at positions 524 to 777 of the family's 1533-position model. The record is from RNAcentral.
UACGUAGGGGGCAAGCGUUGUCCGGAUUUAUUGGGCGUAAAGAGCGUGUAGGCGGUUAGGUAGGUCCGUUGUGAAAACUCGAGGCUCAACCUCGAGACGCCGAUGGAAACCAUCUAACUAGAGUCCGGAAGAGGAGAGUGGAAUUCCUGGUGUAGCGGUGAAAUGCGCAGAUAUCAGGAGGAACACCGGUGGCGAAGGCGGGUCUCUGGGCAGUAACUGACGCUGAGGAGCGAAAGCGUGGGGAGCGAACAGGA